UUUAUUGGAGAGUUUGAUCCUGGCUCAGGAUGAACGCUGGCGGCGUGCCUAAUACAUGCAAGUCGAGCGAAUGGAUUGAGAGCUUGCUCUCAAGAAGUUAGCGGCGGACGGGUGAGUAACACGUGGG
RNAcentral lists this ribosomal RNA (127 nucleotides) under Bacillus thuringiensis. RNAcentral's name for it is "partial 16S ribosomal RNA". It matches the Rfam family "Bacterial small subunit ribosomal RNA", at positions 1 to 121 of the family's 1533-position model. The record is from RNAcentral. Lineage: Bacteria; Bacillati; Bacillota; Bacilli; Caryophanales; Bacillaceae.